GGAAUAUUGGUCAAUGGGCGAGAGCCUGAACCAGCCAAGUAGCGUGCAGGAUGACGGCCCUAUGGGUUGUAAACUGCUUUUAUACGGGGAUAAAGUGCUCCACGUGUGGAGUUUUGUAGGUACCGUAUGAAUAAGGACCGGCUAAUUCCGUGCCAGCAGCCGCGGUAAUACGGAAGGUCCGGGCGUUAUCCGGAUUUAUUGGGUUUAAAGGGAGCGUAGGCCGUUUGGUAAGCGUGUUGUGAAAUGUAGGGGCUCAACCUCUGAAUUGCAGCGCGAACUGUCAGACUUGAGUGUGCACGAGGUAGGCGGAAUUCGUGGUGUAGCGGUGAAAUGCUUAGAUAUAACGAAGAACUCCGAUUGCGAAGGCAGCUUACCGGAACACAACUGACGCUGAAGCUCGAAGGUGCGGGUAUCGAACA
RNAcentral lists this ribosomal RNA (419 nucleotides) under uncultured Prevotella sp. RNAcentral describes it as "bacterial SSU rRNA". It matches the Rfam family "Bacterial small subunit ribosomal RNA", at positions 358 to 774 of the family's 1533-position model. The record is from RNAcentral. Lineage: Bacteria; Pseudomonadati; Bacteroidota; Bacteroidia; Bacteroidales; Prevotellaceae.